GAGCCGCUGGUUUCGCUUCCCGCUCGCCGCUAGGGGCGGACGGGGCGCAGAAGUAGGCUGUUGUGAGAGCACCAGCAGAAGGAUGGUGGAUGGAACGAUGUGCUGCCCUGCUUGGAUGUUCCGCUUAUUGGGGAGUAGCUACCAGUCCAGCUUUGCACCACACAACGAGAGAGGAGAGCUGAGAGUUGAAGAUCAUUUAGAGGAUAAUGAAGCACAGAGCAGAGGAACCAUUUCUCCAUUUCCAUUGUUUUUUGACAUGCCAACAAGCAAAAGGCAAAGAGAGGCGCUCCAUCAGCAAAGAGGUAAAGCCAGAGCCGGUGCCCCCUCCAAAGCUGUGGAAGAUGAGGAACCCCUGCAGUCCA
Long non-coding RNA from Centrocercus urophasianus (Greater sage-grouse), 362 nucleotides. RefSeq lists it as uncharacterized. NCBI's taxonomy places the organism in Eukaryota, Metazoa, Chordata, Aves, Galliformes, Phasianidae. The transcript has 4 exons. The record is from RefSeq and is a predicted model, not a curated record.